GAAGAUGGUGAACUAUGCCUGAAUAGGGCGAAGCCAGGGGAAACCCUGGUGGAAGCCCGCAGCGAUUCUGACGUGCAAAUCGAUCGUCAAAUUUGGGUAUAGGGGCGAAAGACUAAUCGAACCGUCUAGUAGCUGGUUCCCUCCGAAGUUUCCCUCAGGAUAGCUGGAGCCCGGUGCAGUUUUAUCAGGUAAAGCGAAUGAUUAGAGGUCUCGGGGUCGAAACGACCUCGACCUAUUCUCAAACUUUAAAUGGGUAAGAGGUCCGGCUUGCUCGAUUGAAGUCGGACGCGGAAUGCCGGGGCUCCUAGUGGGCCAUUUUUGGUAAGCAGAACUGGCGAUGUGGGAUGAACCGAAAGCCGGGUUAAGGUGCCCGAAUCGACGCUCAGCAGAUACAG
Molecule: ribosomal RNA, 395 nt
Filed under: Mycale laevis
Lineage: Eukaryota; Metazoa; Porifera; Demospongiae; Poecilosclerida; Mycalidae
Description: eukaryotic LSU rRNA
Rfam family: Eukaryotic large subunit ribosomal RNA
Source: RNAcentral